RNAcentral lists this transfer RNA (73 nucleotides) under bacterium. RNAcentral's name for it is "tRNA-Ile". It matches the Rfam family "tRNA". From Rfam's summary of the family: Transfer RNA (tRNA) molecules are approximately 80 nucleotides in length. Their secondary structure includes four short double-helical elements and three loops (D, anti-codon, and T loops). The record is from RNAcentral.
GCGCCAGUAGCUCAGCGGUUAGAGCACUGCUCUUAUAAAGCAGGGGUCGAUGGUUCGAAUCCAUCCUGGCGCA